AGGUCAAGUAGAAAAGGGCGCAUGGUGAAUGCCUUGGCACUAGAAGCCGAUGAAGGACGUGACGAACCACGAAAGGCUUCGGGGAGCAGUAAGUAAGCAAUGAUCCGGAGAUAUCCGAAUGGGGGAACCCAAUACCGCGAGGUAUUAUCAUUAACUGUUAAGGUUAAUGAAGGAAGACGCAGUGAACUGAAACAUCUAAGUAGCUGCAGGAAGAGAAAGAAAAAUCGAUUUCCCAAGUAGCGGCGAGCGAACAGGAAAGAGCCCAAACCAGCUGGCUUGCCAGUUGGGGUUGUAGGACUGCGAUAUAGUACUUGAAGUGAUAGCAGAAUUAUCUGGAAAGAUAAGCCAGAGAGGGUGAGAGCCCCGUACGCGAAAUUGCGGAGAGACUUAGCAGGAUCCUGAGUAGGUCGGGACACGAGAACUCCCGAUUGAAACCGCGAGGACCAUCUCGCAAGGCUAAAUACUAACUAGUGACCGAUAGUGAACCAGUACCGUGAGGGAAAGGUGAAAAGAACCCCGGAAGGGGAGUGAAAGAGAACCUGAAACCGUGUGCCUACAAGUAGUCAGAGCACAUUAAAGUGUAAUGGCGUGCCUUUUGUAGAAUGAACCGGCGAGUUACGUUAUGGUGCAAGGUUAAGUCAGAAAAGACGGAGCCGGAGCGAAAGCGAGUCUGAAUAGGGCGAAAGAGUAUCAUGACGUAGACCCGAAACCAAGUGACCUACCCAUGACCAGGUUGAAGGCGUGGUAAAACACGCUGGAGGACCGAACCCACGUGAGUUAAAAAUCGCGGGGAUGAGUUGUGGGUAGCGGUGAAAUUCCAAACGAACUUGGAGAUAGCUGGUUCUCUCCGAAAUAGCUUUAGGGCUAGCCUCGUGUGAAUGAUAAUGGAGGUAGAGCGCUGUUUGGACUAGGGGCCCGUCAGGGGUUACUGAAUCCAGAUAAACUCCGAAUGCCAGAUAUCAAUGCACGGGAGUCAGACUGCGAGUGAUAAGAUCCGUAGUCGAAAGGGAAACAGCCCAGAUCACCAGUUAAGGUCCCCAAAUCUAUGCUAAGUGGAAAAGGAUGUGGAGUUGCGUAGACAACUAGGAUGUUGGCUUAGAAGCAGCCACCAUUUAAAGAGUGCGUAAUAGCUCACUAGUCGAGUGACGCUGCGCCGAAAAUGUACCGGGGCUAAGCAUAGUACCGAAACUGUGGAUGCAUAUAUUAUAUGCGUGGUAGGAGAGCGUUCUAAGUGCGGCGAAGUUAGAUCGAGAGGACUAAUGGAGCGCUUAGAAGUGAGAAUGCCGGUAUGAGUAGCGAAAGAUAGGUGAGAAUCCUAUCCGCCGAAAGACUAAGGUUUCCUGGGGCAGGCUCGUCCGCCCAGGGUAAGUCGGGACCUAAGGUAAGGCCGAGAGGCGUAGCCGAUGGACAACAGGUAGAAAUUCCUGUACUGAAAUUGUUCGAUAUGAGCAAAGGAGGGACGCAGGAGGCUAAUGACGCAUGUUGCUGGAAAUACAUGUGCAAGCAGUAAGAAAAAAGAUGAGUCAAAUGCUUGUCUUUAGAUUUCAAGCUGUGAUGCGGAGCGAAAUAAAAGUAGCGAAGGUCAUGAUGUCACACUGCCAAGAAAAGCUUCUAGCCAGAACAAUUUUACCCGUACCGCAAACCGACACAGGUAGUCGAGUGGAGAACACUCAGGUGAGCGAGAGAACUCUCGUUAAGGAACUCGGCAAAAUGACCCCGUAACUUCGGGAGAAGGGGUGCUGAUAGUAAAAUAUCAGCCGCAGUGAAUAGGCCCAAACAACUGUUUAUCAAAAACACAGGUAUCUGCAAAAUCGUAAGAUGACGUAUAGGUGCUGACACCUGCCCGGUGCUGGAAGGUUAAGAGGA
RNAcentral lists this ribosomal RNA (1866 nucleotides) under Bifidobacterium animalis subsp. lactis. RNAcentral describes it as "partial 23S ribosomal RNA". It matches the Rfam family "Bacterial large subunit ribosomal RNA", at positions 1 to 1885 of the family's 2925-position model. The record is from RNAcentral. Lineage: Bacteria; Bacillati; Actinomycetota; Actinomycetes; Bifidobacteriales; Bifidobacteriaceae.